This 331-nucleotide unclassified non-coding RNA is filed under the name Hevea brasiliensis (rubber tree). Lineage: Eukaryota; Viridiplantae; Streptophyta; Magnoliopsida; Malpighiales; Euphorbiaceae. The record is from RNAcentral.
GAAUUUAAUCCUUACCAAAGUUAUUACCGCUUAGCCUUGGGUCAAUUAUUCAUCCCAUCAAACCCAUACCAAUCAAUAACAUAGAGAAGUCAUGCUCAAAUAGGCUCUAAAACAAUCCAUAAACUAAUGUACCUCAAAUAAUGAUAGAAAUAGUUAAAUGGAGGAAUAAUGUGCCAAUCCCAUAGGCAAACCAACUAAUCUAAUCUCUACUAAUAUAGCAAAACGCAAUCAAGAGAUCAAAAGGGCUUUUAAUUAUUGUAAUGGGGCUAAGGGGUAAUAAUGUGGCUAACAAAGAAAAGGUAAAAGGAAGCAAAACAUGAGAAUAAUUAAA